UUGAGAUGAACAAAGGCUAAGUUCGCCACGUCCUGUGGCAACGCCUUUCUGACCAACAUCUUGUUGG
RNAcentral lists this small RNA (67 nucleotides) under Lentibacillus persicus. RNAcentral describes it as "Bacillaceae-1 RNA". It matches the Rfam family "Bacillaceae-1 RNA". The record is from RNAcentral. Lineage: Bacteria; Bacillati; Bacillota; Bacilli; Caryophanales; Bacillaceae.